Molecule: ribosomal RNA, 788 nt
Filed under: uncultured archaeon
Lineage: Archaea
Description: bacterial SSU rRNA
Rfam family: Archaeal small subunit ribosomal RNA
Source: RNAcentral
UGCAGCAGGCGCGAAAACUUGGCAAUGCGAGAAAUCGUGACCAGGGAACUCCAAGUGCAUGGGGUAAGACCCAUGCUUUUCUUGACUCUAAAUAGGUCUUGGAAUAAGGGGUGGGUAAGGACGGUGCCAGCCGCCGCGGUAAUACCGGCGCCUCAAGUGGUAGUCGCUUUUAUUGGGCCUAAAACGUCCGUAGCCGGUCUGAUACAUUCGUGGGUAAAUCAACCAGCUUAACUGGUUGAAUUCUGCGAGGACGGUCAGACUUGGGACCGGGAGAGGUGUGGGGUACGCUCAGGGUAGGGGUAAAAUCCUGUCAUCCUGAGCGGACCACCUGUUGCGAAGGCGCCACACUAGAACGGAUCCGACGGUCAGGGACGAAGCCUAGGGGCACGAACCGGAUUAGAUACCCGGGUAGUCCUAGGUGUAAACGCUGUGGACUUGAUGUUGGGGGUGCUCCGAGCACUCUCAGUGUCGAAGCGAAGGUGAUAAGUCCACUGCCUGGGAAGUACGGUCGCAAGGCUGAAACUUAAAGGAAUUGGCGGGGGAGCACCGCAACCUGAGGAUUGUGCGGUUUAAUUGGAUUCAACGCCGGAAAACUCACCAUAGCCGACGGACAAAUGAAGGUCAGUGUAAUGAACUUACCGGAUUGUUCGAGAGGUAGUGCAUGGCCGCCGUCAGUUCGUACCGCAAGGCGUUCUGUUAAGUCAGAUAACGAACGAGACCCUCAUCUCUAUUUUGCUAACUGGAUCUCCGGAUUCAGUGCACUAUAGGGAGACCGCUGGCGCUAAGUC